This 253-nucleotide ribosomal RNA is filed under the name uncultured bacterium. Its description in RNAcentral is "partial 16S ribosomal RNA". It matches the Rfam family "Bacterial small subunit ribosomal RNA", at positions 524 to 776 of the family's 1533-position model. The record is from RNAcentral.
UACGUAGGGUGCAAGCGUUGUCCGGAAUUAUUGGGCGUAAAGAGCUCGUAGGCGGUCUGUUACGUCGGCUGUGAAAACCUGGGGCUCAACUCCGGGCCUGCAGCCGAUACGGGCAGACUAGAGUUCGGCAGGGGAGACUGGAAUUCCUGGUGUAGCGGUGAAAUGCGCAGAUAUCAGGAGGAACACCGGUGGCGAAGGCGGGUCUCUGGGCCGUAACUGACGCUGAGGAGCGAAAGCGUGGGGAGCGAACAGG